This 508-nucleotide ribosomal RNA is filed under the name uncultured bacterium. Its description in RNAcentral is "bacterial SSU rRNA". It matches the Rfam family "Bacterial small subunit ribosomal RNA", at positions 28 to 524 of the family's 1533-position model. The record is from RNAcentral.
GAUGAACGCUAGCUUAGGCUUAACACAUGCAAGUCGAGGGGAAACGGCAAAGAGUGCUUGCACCCUUUGGACGUCGACCGGCGCACGGGUGAGUAACGCGUAUCCAACCUGCCCUUUACUUGGGGAUAACCCGUUGAAAGACGGACUAAUACCCAAUGAUAUUCAUUGAUGACAUCUGAUUUGAAUUAAAGAUUUAUCGGUAUAGGAUGGGGAUGCGUCUGAUUAGCUUGUUGGUGAGGUAACGGCUCACCAAGGCAACGAUCAGUAGGGGUUCUGAGAGGAAGGUCCCCCACAUUGGAACUGAGACACGGUCCAAACUCCUACGGGAGGCGGCAGUGAGGAAUAUUGGUCAAUGGACGAGAGUCUGAACCAGCCAAGUAGCGUGCAGGAUGACGGCCCUAUGGGUUGUAAACUGCUUUUGUUUGGGAAUAAUCGACAUUACGUGUAAUGUUUUGCAUGUACCAUUCGAAUAAGGACCGGCUAAUUCCGUGCCAGCAGCCGCGGUAAU